Molecule: long non-coding RNA, 1907 nt
Organism: Dendroctonus ponderosae (mountain pine beetle)
Lineage: Eukaryota; Metazoa; Arthropoda; Insecta; Coleoptera; Curculionidae
Exons: 3
Source: RefSeq, a predicted model, not a curated record
UAUUUUAUUAAACAGAAAGGGAAAUCCACCGUUCAGUUGAACCGCGUUCGUCUAAACGUUAUCAGCCAGUUAUCAUGUCGAAUUUGUUUCAAAUCGAUGUGUUUACUUGUCAAGACUGACAAGAAACACGUGAAAACUGACUGGCACGAGUCAAUUGACGUGCUAGUGGCUUGUCGAACUCUUGGACUGGUUUCAACUCCGUAUUUUAAGCGCUGAAACUCGAUCUCCCUGAAGAGUGACCUUUGUGUUGUGUGGCCGUUCAAUCGGACGUGGAGUGUCGAUCUUUCUUUUCACCCUGUAUAUUUGGAGACUUCACUGUACAGACGUAACUGGUGUGGACUUUUGUUCAAUGUUCGAAUACUCAUUCGGCGGGAACCGCAACAGUUAAUCCAGAACCGCUAAGCUGCCAUCUUUGGAAGAAUCGUAAUUGUGAUCUCACAAAGGCAUAUGACACUGUACUUCGGGAACACGUAUGAGAAGCAUCAUAUACCAUCUCUUUAAAUGUAACUUUUACAAACGCUAUAAAUGAGUCCUACAGAAGCUCUUGUUCAAGGCCGUAACAGGAAGAAACGGGACUAAAAAACAGUAAUUCUGAAGGUAAUUGAGGAUUAUAUUUUCUUGGGACAUAUGAAGCUUAUUGCACGAUAUAGGAAACUGUAGGAGCAUUUGACUGCAUUUAAGUGCUUAAAAAAUUUAUAAUAUAUACAAAGCCAAAUAUACAAAUUUACUUGAAAAAAUUGGGAAUUAGAGAAGCUGAAAAACUCAUUAACAGCACAACUGAUCACUGAUACCUACAGUAGACUCUGGUGGCCUGCACGUUUACCUGAUUUUAUACCAGUUAAUUUCUUGCAACUAUUACAGACCUCAAGUUGUGAUUUACUAGUAGUAGAUUCAAUUUUAUAUUGUCUUUUUGUUAUUUAGCGUUUGAGAAAUUAUUGAUCCGUACAUCAAACAGUUUUUAAGCUAAUGGACAGUUUUCGAAUACCAACCGUAAUUCGCGUGGUACGACAUUUGCAUGACAAAAGCCAUAUAGAAGCACGCUAAAAACACCCCACCUACUAUUUGAAUACGAGUUAAGUAGAGAUCAAUUGUUCUACAUCAAAUCCCACACGUGGGACGAACGAAAGUGGAUACCCACCUCCAUCAAGUGCAAUAUCGCAACUGAAGGGUUCCACCAACGAUGUUCUAACCUGAAGACUUUCUUUUAAGAUACAUUUACUUUGUUUUGUGGGAACACUUUAGUUCAUACGCUGAUAAUAAGGCCAAAAAAUAAUUUUGCUGUAAUCACACUGAGGUAAUCUAAAUGUGUUCAAGUGUGUAAUUAUGAGUGUAAAUGGGAAAGGAACUUUUCGAUACAUUUUUCCAUGCUAUUCAUCUGGGAAAGCGUUUGAUUUUUAUAACGUACUUAGUUUAUUCUUCUUUUACUUAGUUAUUAACACCUACAGCGUUUUAGGCUUUGUGUAUGCUGAGAGCACAGUUUUUCUACAGAAACUACACAAAUUUUCAUUUAAGAAACAUGUUUUUGUUAUUUUGUGCGCUUAAUCGCGAGCCAUUAGAUAGAAUAAUUCUAAGUUGGAAAACUUUUUGGAGAGACCAAAAAACAUUAAAUAAUCAUUUAAACAUUGGGAGUGAAUCUUCCUUAUGCAACAAUACCAUUUUGGUACGUGAUUAGAAGUUCACCAAGGUAGCAAUGAUUUUGGAAAGUUUUUCUUAAUAAAAGUCAGAUAAGAUUAAUCUAGCUCUUCGUAACUGAAAAAAAAUCCUAUUAAUAUGAGUUUUUUCUCACUUAAAGUAGCGGAUUUUCGCUUUGUUAUGGGCCAAAUUGAGCGAUCUUUUUUUUACUUGGUGAGUUUUUUAAAAAUCGGUGUCGUCCAAGGACCAAUCGCUUCGAUUUAGCAACCGAAAAA